RNAcentral lists this ribosomal RNA (433 nucleotides) under uncultured Lachnospiraceae bacterium. Its description in RNAcentral is "partial 16S ribosomal RNA". It matches the Rfam family "Bacterial small subunit ribosomal RNA", at positions 341 to 792 of the family's 1533-position model. Lineage: Bacteria; Bacillati; Bacillota; Clostridia; Lachnospirales; Lachnospiraceae. The record is from RNAcentral.
ACGGAAGGCAGCAGUGGGGAAUAUUGGACAAUGGGGGAAACCCUGAUCCAGCGACGCCGCGUGAGUGAAGAAGUGUUUCGGUAUGUAAAGCUCUAUCAGCAAGGAAGAAAAUGACGGUACUUACUAAGAAGCUCCGGCUAAAUACGUGCCAGCAGCCGCGGUAAUACGUAUGGAGCAAGCGUUAUCCGGAUUUACUGGGUGUAAAGGGAGCGUAGACGGCAUAGCAAGCCAGAUGUGAAAUGCGGGGGCUCAACCCCUGAACUGCAUUUGGAACUGUUAAGCUAGAGUAUCGGAGAGGUAAGUGGAAUUCCUAGUGUAGCGGUGAAAUGCGUAGAUAUUAGGAGGAACACCAGUGGCGAAGGCGGCUUACUGGACGAUAACUGACGUUGAGGCUCGAAAGCGUGGGGAGCAAACAGGAUUAGAUACCCUGGUA